CCGAUCGAGGCAGGCCGCAAGGAAAGAGAGACCGAGCAAGGUCAACUGACGGGCCCCGAGAUAGGAUAGGAGAAAGAGCGUGGCCCACCCAGGGUUUCGGACUGCCAAGGAAAAUUACCAGAAACUCCCGUCACCUUCCCACCGUGCCACCGGGGCUCUUGCUCCCAACAAAUCCUGUUCCUGCAGGGCCGAUACGGAUUUAAACUCCAGCAGUGCAACUUUCAGCCUCUCUUCCUACCAGACUGCCAAGUGAAACCUCCAGGAAAACCUGCCACCUUCCCACCAUGCCAACUAGUGUCUUUGCUCCAGCCGUGUCUGUGCCUCCUGGAAUAAAAAUAAUGAUAAUUGC
Molecule: long non-coding RNA, 349 nt
Organism: Ornithorhynchus anatinus (platypus)
Lineage: Eukaryota; Metazoa; Chordata; Mammalia; Monotremata; Ornithorhynchidae
Exons: 2
Source: RefSeq, a predicted model, not a curated record